RNAcentral lists this long non-coding RNA (326 nucleotides) under Medicago truncatula (barrel medic). RNAcentral describes it as "lncRNA gene35640". The record is from RNAcentral. Lineage: Eukaryota; Viridiplantae; Streptophyta; Magnoliopsida; Fabales; Fabaceae.
AAAAGUCAAUGCGACUAUUAUUAUAGACCUCAAAAGAAGGAAGAAAAUCGAGAAAGUGCAUGAAUAAAUUCCACAUCAUUGAAUUAGAUGAAUUAGAUUAAACCAACGAUCAAAUUUAUAAGAUUUAAUGGGGAAAAGUUUAAAAUCUAACUCUGGAAGCUGAGUCAUUCACUCUGAAGUGCUUAUUCCUACUGUCCCAAUGGGAGUCCCCUAUGUUAACUGGCAGCUUCGUUACAAGUUACAAUUUGAUACACGACACUUCUUGCCAAGAGAUAGUUUAUGCAAACAAUUGGUUAGUAACAACAGAAGUUCAGACUAAAUGUUAA